This 620-nucleotide ribosomal RNA is filed under the name uncultured eukaryote. RNAcentral describes it as "SSU rRNA". It matches the Rfam family "Eukaryotic small subunit ribosomal RNA", at positions 620 to 1245 of the family's 1831-position model. The record is from RNAcentral.
UAAAAAGCUCGUAGUUGGAUUUCUGGUGGGAGCGGCCGGUCCGCCGCAAGGUGUGUACUUGGUUGUCUCCUGUCAUCCUUGUGGGAACUGCUCUGGCAUUAAGUUGUCGGGGUUAGGGAACACAUCGUUUACUGUGAAAAAAUUAGAGUGUUUAAAGCAGGCUUAUGCCGUUGAAUACAUUAGCAUGGAAUAAUAAGAUAGGACUUUGGCGUCUAUUUUGUUGGUUUGCACACCAAGGUAAUGAUUAAUAGGGAUAGUUGGGGGUAUUCGUAUUUAAUUGUCAGAGGUGAAAUUCUUGGAUUUAUGAAAGACGAACUUCUGCGAAAGCAUUUACCAAAGAUGUUUUCAUUAAUCAAGAACGAAAGUUAGGGGAUCGAAAAUGAUUAGAUACCAUCGUAGUCUUAACCAUAAACUAUGCCGACUAGGGAUUGGCGGUCGUUCAUUUAUGACUCCGUCAGCACCUUAUGAGAAAUCAAAGUCUUUGGGUUCCGGGGGGAGUAUGGUCGCAAGGCUAAAACUUAAAGGAAUUGACGGAAGGGCACCACCAGAAUUGGAGCCUGCGGCUUAAUUUGACUCAACACGGGGAAACUUACCAGGUCCAAACAUAUUAAGGAUUGACA